This 250-nucleotide ribosomal RNA is filed under the name uncultured bacterium. RNAcentral's name for it is "partial 16S ribosomal RNA". It matches the Rfam family "Bacterial small subunit ribosomal RNA", at positions 524 to 773 of the family's 1533-position model. The record is from RNAcentral.
UACAGAGAGGGCAAGCGUUGUUCGGAAUGACUGGGCGUAAAGGGCGCGUAGGCGGUUUGUUAAGUUGGAUGUGAAAUCCCCGGGCUCAACCUGGGAACUGCAUUCGAUACUGGCAGACUUGAGGCUAAGAGAGGAAAGCGGAAUGACGAGUGUAGAGGUGAAAUUCGUAGAUAUUCGUCGGAACACCAGAGGCGAAGGCGGCUUUCUGGCUUAGACCUGACGCUGAGGCGCGAAAGCGUGGGGAGCAAAC